GAUGAACGCUGGCGGCGUGCCUAAUACAUGCAAGUCGAGCGAACGGACGAGAAGCUUGCUUCUCUGAUGUUAGCGGCGGACGGGUGAGUAAAACGUGGAUAACCUACCUAUAAGACUGGGAUAACUUCGGGAAACCGGAGCUAAUACCGGAUAAUAUUUUGAACCGCAUGGUUCAAAAGUGAAAGACGGUCUUGCUGUCACUUAUAGAUGGAUCCGCGCUGCAUUAGCUGGUUGGUAAGGUAACGGCUUACCAAGGCAACGAUGCAUAGCCGACCGGAGAGGGGGGUCGGCCGCCAUAGAGCUGAGCAGCGGUCCAGACUCCUACGGGAGGCAGCAGUAGGGAAUCUUCCGCAAUGGGCGAAGGCCUGACGGAGCAACGCCGCGUGAGUGAUGAAGGUCUUCGGAUCGUAAAACUCUGUUAUUGGGGAAGAACAUAUGUGGAAGUAACUGUGCACAUCUUGACGGUACCUAAUCAGAAAGCCACGGCUAACUACGUG
Molecule: ribosomal RNA, 497 nt
Filed under: uncultured bacterium
Lineage: Bacteria
Description: partial 16S ribosomal RNA
Rfam family: Bacterial small subunit ribosomal RNA
Source: RNAcentral